AGUGAACGCUGGCGGUAGGCCUAACACAUGCAAGUCGAACGGCAGCACAGUAAGAGCUUGCUCUUACGGGUGGCGAGUGGCGGACGGGUGAGGAAUACAUCGGAAUCUACUUUUUCGUGGGGGAUAACGUAGGGAAACUUACGCUAAUACCGCAUACGACCUACGGGGGAAAGCAGGGGAUCUUCGGACCUUGCGCGAAUGAAUGAGCCGAUGUCGGGUUAGCUAGUUGGCGGGGUAAAGGCCCACCAAGGCGACGAUCCGUAGCUGGUCUGAGAGGAUGAUCGGCCACACUGGAACUGGGACACGGUCCAGACUCCUACGGGAGGCAGCAGUGGGGAAUAUUGGACAAUGGGCGCAAGCCUGAUCCAGCCAUACCGCGUGGGUGAAGAAGGCCUUCGGGUUGUAAAGCCCUUUUGUUGGGAAAGAAAAGCAGCAGGUUAAUACCCCGCUGUUCUGACGGUACCCAAAGAAUAAGCACCGGCUAACUUCGUG
Molecule: ribosomal RNA, 492 nt
Filed under: uncultured bacterium
Lineage: Bacteria
Description: partial 16S ribosomal RNA
Rfam family: Bacterial small subunit ribosomal RNA
Source: RNAcentral